RNAcentral lists this ribosomal RNA (164 nucleotides) under uncultured soil bacterium. RNAcentral describes it as "partial 16S ribosomal RNA". It matches the Rfam family "Bacterial small subunit ribosomal RNA", at positions 26 to 181 of the family's 1533-position model. The record is from RNAcentral.
AGAUUGAACGCUGGCGGCAUGCCUUACACAUGCAAGUCGAGCGGCAGCGCGGGGAGGGGCAACUCUCCCUGGCGGCGAGCGGCGAACGGGUGAGUAAUACAUCGGAACGUGUCCAGUAGUGGGGGAUAACCAGUCGAAAGAUUGGCUAAUACCGCAUACGAUCU